RNAcentral lists this ribosomal RNA (253 nucleotides) under uncultured bacterium. RNAcentral's name for it is "partial 16S ribosomal RNA". It matches the Rfam family "Bacterial small subunit ribosomal RNA", at positions 524 to 776 of the family's 1533-position model. The record is from RNAcentral.
UACGAAGGGGGCUAGCGUUGUUCGGAAUUACUGGGCGUAAAGCGCGCGCAGGCGGUCUGCGAAGUUUGGAGUGACAGUUGGUGGCUCAACCACCAAAGUGCUUUGAAAACUGACAGACUUGAGGGCUUCAGAGGGACACGGAAUUCCGGGUGGAGUGGUGAAAUGCGUAGAGAUCCGGAGGAACACCAAAGGCGAAGGCAGUGUCCUGGGGAGUACCUGACGCUCAGGUGCGAAAGCCAGGGGAGCGAACGGG